UGCAAAUCAGAACGCGGCACGAGCAGACACCGCAAAUCUCUGUUUAAUCUCGGCCCUGUGAUGUAUUUGCAGC
MicroRNA precursor from Oreochromis aureus, 73 nucleotides. The record is from Ensembl. Lineage: Eukaryota; Metazoa; Chordata; Actinopteri; Cichliformes; Cichlidae.